AAAAAGCAGGCAUGGCCUCGUGGGACUGAUUUCUAGCUCAAAAGGCUUCCAGGCUCACUUAGCUGUGCUUUAGUCACAGAAGCCUCUCUUUCUCCUCACAUUCGUGAGGGUUAAAGUCAGGCUGUGGCACCUAGGGUGUCAGUAGUUUGUAUAGUUGCUCAUUUCACUUUUAAAGGCCAGUUUCAGCCCUCCUGGCCCCUAGGAGCGCCCUGGGGCUGCAGCCGCCUGUCAGAGGGCAGCGGCGGGGGGGGGAAGCCGCGGCUGCGUCCCCCUCACACCCGGCGCUGGCAGCGCGGGCAGCGGGACCUCGAGGCUCUCACGGGCUCGGUUAGCCUCUGUCACCGCCCCAGCAGCAGUUCUCUCGAGUUAAGGACCAGAGGAAGUUGGUUAACAACCGGCUUUUGGGAACAAGAGAGCUCCAUUCUCCCUGGACCUUCAGAGUGCAGCCCUGUCCUAGAGAGGUGUCAGGAACUUAGCCACCAGCUUCUGAAGGAAUUUGGAGGCAGUACCAAGACCAGCAUCCUGGUGCUCCUGUUUAUGUUCAUGCAGAAUGGAAGGUUACCAGCACUGAGCAGAAAUGCCUGUCAUUUUGUGUUCGUAUGAAAGCUAGUCCCAGAAUCCAAACUGAGGACUAACUGGAGGCUUUUACAGCUCCAGGCAAUAUGAAACUUUCUGAGCUGAUGCUGAAGCUGUGUGCUCCUGUGCCGUGUUUAGUCCUAAGUGAAGUUGUGCUGUGUGAGAUGUCUCUCUGCUACCUCCUCAGAAAGGUCAACGAAAUCUGCAAGGGCAGUGUGGCUGCUGCUGGGGAAAGCCUUCUUGCUGCUCUUGCCUGGGACACAUCCCUGGAGAGACCAGGACAAACAGCAGCCAACUGAAGCAUUCAACUUCUGCAGGAGCAACAAUUCACAUUCUCACCAAAUUCUGAAAAAUACUGGACCAAAACCCAAAUUGACCACUGGUAUAAUGAGGUACAGCCACAGCACCAUGACUAGAGGCUUGUGGGGAAUUUAUCUCUGUGUAUUUGUGUACAGACAGCAUAUACUUUAACAGGACACAAGUGAGUAAUAGAGCAGGAUUUAUGCUUAUAGUUGCGCAGGCAAAAGUUACAGAAUUGGUGCGUGCAGUCUUUGAUCACUUGAUCAGUUGCUGAUUUUGUUUCUCGCUUUUAGCUGUGUUUUGGUUGAAUGCAGAGUAAGUCACAUGAAUCCCAUCAUUACUUUUCGUAUUUCAGAAUAUGGCAGAAAUCUUAUCUGAAUGUAGAGAUUAAAGGUUCAGUUCAGCUGAUUUGCAUCUGUGCAGUCUUCAGAAAGACUCUUGUCAAGAGAAAAAUUUAUUACUAUAUUUUUACAAUUUAAUCUUACAUCUAUUUUUCUGUAAUUUGAGAUUAUUAUUGCAUUUCACCCCAAAAGUUAUCAUAAUACUGCAAAAAUGAUUGACGUUUUUGAUUAUCAGCCUGUGCUUAUGAAAAGCUUUUGCAGCUUAUUUAAGUCAAAGUUCAUAUGCUACUUUGAUCUGAAUGCCUCUUCCUGGAUUUGUAUAAACACAUGCAAAUAGAGGACCUUUUUCCUUCAUUCAAAAUGUGAUUUUUCUAUUUUCAUCCAAGAGCAUUCUUCUUACAAGGAACCCUUU
Molecule: long non-coding RNA, 1629 nt
Filed under: Anas platyrhynchos platyrhynchos (common mallard)
Lineage: Eukaryota; Metazoa; Chordata; Aves; Anseriformes; Anatidae
Description: lncRNA (ENSAPLG00000020642.1)
Source: RNAcentral